This 73-nucleotide transfer RNA is filed under the name Chitinophagaceae bacterium. Its description in RNAcentral is "tRNA-Gly". It matches the Rfam family "tRNA". Rfam says of the family: Transfer RNA (tRNA) molecules are approximately 80 nucleotides in length. Their secondary structure includes four short double-helical elements and three loops (D, anti-codon, and T loops). Lineage: Bacteria; Pseudomonadati; Bacteroidota; Chitinophagia; Chitinophagales; Chitinophagaceae. The record is from RNAcentral.
GCGGAAGUAGCUCAUCUGGUAGAGCACAACCUUCCCAAGGUUGGGGUGGCCGGUUCGAGGCCGGUCUUCCGCU